CCUCGCGAUGUUUUGAGCCGAAACACUCGCUAGUAGGGAUCUUGUCCAGUAGAUAGCGAUCAGGAGAGUAGGCAUGCUGAAGCAGUUCAUGCAUGGAGGAACCUGUCUGUUGCUACUCUGCGUUUAUUCAAUGUUGAAUUAUGAACGAUUGCGCCUUUAAAUAAUAACCUCCAUAAAGGCAAUUAUUGGUAAGCAUCACUGAAUCCAGGGACAGAGAGAGAAAGGCACAUAACAGAAAGCAACCGGCGGGUCUGGCUCUCUGUGUCGGUGUGUGUGGGAAUGGCAGCUCCCCGACCGAUUAAAGGCAUCCUGAAAAACAAGAACAGCGGCAGAAACCUGAAAUCCGUGUCCGACGAGGCGCCGGCGGAGGUGACCGAGCAUGGCCCUGGACUCUCGGAGGAUGACCACCAAAAAAAAUCUGCCAAAUGGGAUGAGAUGAACAUCCUGGCGACAUAUCAUCCUCCUGACAAGGACUACGGCCUGAUGAAGAUAGAUGAACCCAGCACACCUUAUAACAGGAUGGUUGGGGACGACGAUGAUGAGGGGGCUCUCAGUGACUCAGAAGGCCAGAGCGGUGGGCUCGCGCCUGAUGACCUGGCCUCAAAGCUGGAGGCAGCUGAGGGGGCGGAGCCACGCUUCAUGAAGGAAACGGAAGAGAGCAGCGAGGAGGAAGAAGACGAGCUGACUCCACAAGUGCAAGCCAAAAAGAAGCAUUUUCAGAUGAUGAGGAAGAUGCACUAUGAUGAGGGCAUGAACAUAAGGCUGGCUCGCGAGCUCAUUGCUAAAGAGCUGGAAGAUGAUGACGACGAUGAAGAGAUGAGGGAUGACACAGAGGAUCCAAGAGACAACUCAGAGGAGACAGAGGAGAUCAGUGUAGACCCGCCACAAGAAGGGGUGGCGAACCGCUUGCUGCGGCUCUUUGACGGAUCCUGUGUGGCUCUUUGAUUCUGAAAUUUCCCACACCCCUUGAAGGCAGAAGCAGCGUAAAGUUCAGCUCAGCUGACUCCAUAGAGUCGUAGAUGACUUCUCCCAUCGGCAGCGCCAUGGCAGAUCAGGAUCCAGCGAGAUCCGCCCAUCGGAUCUGUGACUGAAAGCAGAGACGUUAAGGCAAACACCGCUUCACCACCUGUCCAACAUCCCCCAGCAGCCAAUAAGAUUACCGGUCACCUCUUUGUCUCCACUAUUCUCAUAAAACUGUGCAAUAUAACCUCUAUUCUUAAUUUUAAAAAUGGUUUUCAGCUUCAGGAAUAUGUCCGAAACACACACACACACACACACACACACACACACACACACACACACACACACACACACACGCACGAAGGCUGUUGUUUGUCCCUCUCCUGUUGCCAAGAAUGCCCUCCUCUCACCUGUCCUGGACCGAUGUCGCACUGAAGAAUCUAUGACUCAGACACUGAAAGGAGGAUCAAAGUCUUUUUAGAAAUAAGAAGAAAAAAAAUUGCAAGAAAAACCUCACAACGUUGAGCUUAUUAUGGCUGAAACAGCUUGUUGGUUGUGGAAGAAGCCAGGGGGAAACCCCACGGCCUCUCUGAAGGGUUUUAUGUCACAUGAUGGAGUUUCCAGUGGCUGCAACUCAGAUUUCUUUCCCGUUUUCUUUUUUUGAUCAAUCACACCGCUGCAUUUUAUGUCUCUAGGAAUAGUUAAGCUGCUAAUAUAACAAGGCUUCUCCACAUACAAUAUUGACAUGACAUGAUUACCGGGGUUUGGGGAAUAUUAGUCCAAAUUGUGUUAUUAAAAUAGGAGGUAUUUUUCAAGGAAGAACAUUUGACUCAUUCUUGAUUGUCCCACUUGGAUGCUCAUUUUCAGUUUCUCAUUUCCAGUUUACAAGCAUUUCUAAGUGUCACCAGACAUCUUGAGGUACAUUUUUCAUUCACUGGAAUCCUUUUUUAUCCCUUCAAGGUAAGUUUGUUCAAGAAUAAGACAGGACAAGCUGCUCGGUCGUCCAUGUUUUUCUUUCUCUGUGUAAAAUCUACAGUAUUUUUGAUUGUAAAGUUGGCGAGAAGAGACUGUAUGGAAGUGCUGCUGCUGAACUUUGGUAUGUGCUACUGAUAGACCUGACGAAUAGGUAUUAGAUGAACAGUCUGAGCUGUGCCAAGUUAUUUGAAGGAAAGUCAGAACAUUGUUGCUUAAUGUUUUUUUUUUUUUUUUUUUUUCUUCACUUGGCUUAAUCCACGGUUUCAGUUUAAGGCUAUAAUGUUUGAUCUGCUUGCAUGACUCAGCUCAGGAUCAUCAUAGGGGCAGGGGGAAAUAUUUGUAAUGCUACUGACUGAGGUCGGAGGACGUUGGAGACAGAUUAAACCACUACAGCUCAUUGGAGGUGCGUUGAGGACUUGAGUUCUCUUUCAAGGUUCAGCCAUGUGUCACUGCGUAGUCUUAAAAGGAAAAAGAAAGCCAGUCACUCUCGUGUCGACUGUAGGACUUGGCUGCAUACGCUGGGAACUCAGUUAAGUAUGGAGUAGAAAAAGCAUGCAGGGAAUCAUGAGCAUGUCUUAUGUUAUCUCUUUAUUUUCCCCGUUGCCCUUUAACGCCCCACUGUGACCGGACACGUAGAGCUUUAUGUUGCGGAAAUACUGCAGGUCACAGCAGUUGGUAUGACUCCUGCCAAAGUCUCUGUGCAUUUUUUUCCCCAUGUUUAGAAGCAAACCAACAAAUAUAGAGUUUGGCAAAUGGAAUGAGUACCUGAGCAAAAAAUAAAAAACAGAUUCUUGACAAUGCAGCUGUUUUAAUUUGUAAACUUGUGAAAAAAGUGUGACUCUAGAGAAGCAGAGAUUAUUCUUUUUCUCAUUUUAGACAAAACACAAUGGACAUGGAUCAUCCUGUAGGCGGUUGUGACCUGACAAAUGUGCCUCUAAUGACUUAAUAUACUUGUGUGUUUAGUGAACAAGCUCCGUGAUACUUUUUGCCUCUUUUUUUUCUGUUUUUGUUUUGCAUUACACCUGCCCUGUUGUGUUUUCUAAGGUGGGUAGAUGUUUAUGCAGUCCUCUGAUCUAGAGAUGCGCAGAUCGGAUAUUUUCUGGCAAGUUUCCAGUUGUUUUUUUUUGUUUGUUUGUUUUUUUUUUAGAUCUGACUUGCUGAUUCUGAUUAUUUUUCCCAGGGAUUAUAUUGAAAAUUAUGGAAAAACUGUUCUGCAAGUUGUUUGACAAAGUUUUUGAUAAUUAAAAAAAUUACAAGACUAUUCCCAUUUACAUUUGCUAUACGUCAAAGCAAAUGUCUCAAACCUUUAUCUGAUUUUUUUUAUAAAUCAGACGCUUCAAAGUACUUGAUAUUAGUAGAUGCAUUUAUGGACCUAAAAUGGUGGGACUUAGUUAUGGUGCAUUUAAUAAUUUGAAAAUUUAAAAAAAGAAAACAAAAUUGAUUAAUUGGUUAUUGGUGUUUCUCUGCUUAAGACCGUCAUAUGUCUCAAAAAUGUUUUCUUAUAAUUUCCUGUCUGCAUGUUCUUACUCAUCAAGUUGUGCAUAUUGUUUUGUUUUUUCCCCGUCAUUAAACAAACAUUGUUAGAA
This is an RNA transcript of Poecilia reticulata (guppy), 3521 nucleotides long. It is a transcript of the gene named protein phosphatase 1, regulatory (inhibitor) subunit 2, with no coding region annotated. The record is from RefSeq and is a predicted model, not a curated record. Lineage: Eukaryota; Metazoa; Chordata; Actinopteri; Cyprinodontiformes; Poeciliidae.